This 495-nucleotide ribosomal RNA is filed under the name uncultured bacterium. RNAcentral describes it as "partial 16S ribosomal RNA". It matches the Rfam family "Bacterial small subunit ribosomal RNA", at positions 28 to 507 of the family's 1533-position model. The record is from RNAcentral.
GACGAACGCUGGCGGCGUGCCUAAUACAUGCAAGUAGAACGCUGAAGGAGGAGCUUGCUCUUCUGGAUGAGUUGCGAACGGGUGAGUAACGCGUAGGUAACCUGCCUGGUAGCGGGGGAUAACUAUUGGAAACGAUAGCUAAUACCGCAUAACAGUAGAUGUUGCAUGACAUUUACUUAAAAGGUGCAAUUGCAUCACUACCAGAUGGACCUGCGUUGUAUUAGCUAGUUGGUGGGGUAACGGCUCACCAAGGCGACGAUACAUAGCCGACCUGAGAGGGUGAUCGGCCACACUGGGACUGAGACACGGCCCAGACUCCUACGGGAGGCAGCAGUAGGGAAUCUUCGGCAAUGGACGGAAGUCUGACCGAGCAACGCCGCGUGAGUGAAGAAGGUUUUCGGAUCGUAAAGCUCUGUUGUAAGAGAAGAACGAGUGUGAAAGUGGAAAGUUCACACUGUGACGGUAUCUUACCAGAAAGGGACGGCUAGCUACGUG